AUAAAACCCUUUUGUAACUACAUUUUCUUAGCUUCAAUGAGAAAUAUAUUUAAUUUGAUUUUAGUUUAAUAAUAAGCACUUGACCACUUCCUUUUUAAAUUCAUAUGCUAACCGUAUUUAUUUGAAAUGUUCUAGGUGCAAUGCUCAAGAUUGUUGAAUACCCAGUUUGGUAGACACAAAUCAGACGUGAAUCACCCGAAUUGAAACCGUUAAAGUGUAGAAGUACCGACUCGCUUGGGCCUCUCAGCUGGCCCAAUAAUUUGACUUAUGGCUUACCUUUUGCCGUCUCGUCUGCCCCCCCUCACCCACGCACCACUGCACCACCGAAGCACCGCGUUUAUCCAUUCAUAACCACCGCUUUUGCCCUCGCCUUUGCCUCGACUUCCUUGGCGGCAAGUUGUUGGGGCAUGAGUAAUGUGAGGCGCAUUGCAGCCCGAUAAAAAGCUUAAAAUACAACUUACAUUCUGACAAGAUAUGAAUUUUAAGCGCGCGUCCCAUUGAUUUAUGUGGCAUUCAAAGGAAGCGUCUGACGGAGAUGGUUUUUUAAAUUGGAUUACUGGGAGUCACAACGACUCCGUCUGCGGAGUUUUCUGCCUGGCUUGCAUGCCAAGUUUGCGAUUAAAAAUACGUCGAGAUGACGGCUUAUUGAGCCACUGGCUCGUCUAAUUAAUUAGCGACUCCAGCAAAUAUCACUUCGCAUGGCGUAAGAUAAACAAGAUUGGAAAUCAGCAUGGAAAUAGUCUGGCGACGGAAGGGAAAACAAAGAGCAAAUAAACAAACGAAGGGGAAGUCCCCCGAUUUCGAUUGAUUGCGAUACGGCGUGGCGCCCCCUGGCGGGCAGCAAACCAAACAGACGGACGGUCGGAAAAACCGCAGAAUCUAAUUUGGAAAACGUAUGUAGAGUAUGUCGAGCAUGUGGAGUCAUCUGGCCAAGGGAGGGGCUCCACAGUCAACAAAUGUCCCGAGGGGUGUGUGCCACAACAUUCGAACUACUCGACGGGGAAUCCGGCGAAAGGUGAAGCCUGGAAAAAGGGAGGAGGGGGAAGGGUAAGGGGGGCCGGAAUGAAUGCGCAACAAUCAAAAUAUUUUCAUGACAAAUUUAAAACAACAGAGCCAUGAAGUGGAACACGUUGCAAGCGUUUGGUCAGCAGCAGACAUUUUCCGUAGAUGGGAAACAAGUUGUGCACAGGGAAAAAUUGUAAAACUUAAAGAAGGGAACUUUGAACCUUUCUCCUUGAUGUAAUAUUUUAAAGUUGCUUGAAUAUAAUUUCAAAGUCUCUCAAAAAAAAGUAUUGUUUUAACACAUUGAAUUAAUUUUAAAUAUUUUUGUUAGCAAUUACUAGCUCUAAGUUCGCUUCCCUAAAACCUUUCAAUUAUUUUCAAUUGUUUCAAUUAUUAACUAAAAUCCAAUUAAGGAAAAUAUCUUAUCAUUUUGGAGAGGGAAAUUUGGAAAAGUAAAUCCAAACAACAUUUUAUCACCACUUUAAAGUUUACAAAUUCACUUUUUUAUGGUUUAUUUUUUACUGUUCACUGUUCUCUUAUAACAUAUUUUAUGCUUUAUAUACAUAGAAAACAAUAGCAAAAUCAUGAAUUUAGUAUUGAACUACAUAUUCGAUUAGAUUGUUUUCUGUGCGGACUAGCCAAUCAUGCGGAAUGGGAAAAGGGAAUGGGUGGAUUGAAGACGGGAAGUGGCCAAGUCAUGACCGCAGUGGGGUGGCUCCUUGAGGAACUCUCGAUCCGUCAGGAAAACCCCCUUCUUUGGCAACAUUGCUAAUCCCCUCGACCGAAGAAGCGACACACGUGUCUGCGUUUACAAUUCAUUACGAACGCCUCGAACUUAAGCCCUUUUCCGACUUUUCCGACUUUCGGCUGACCCAAAGUCAAUUUUCAGGCCGACUUGCAGACGUUCGCCAGUUGACAACCCCAUUGUCUGGAUAACUGGGAUUCAGAAUGCAGAACGGCAGCUGGUCGAAAUGCAGAGCUGUUUGGCAAACUGUAAGCCACUUAAUCUCGGCGGCGGAAGAAAGAGACUCCCUUUCUCCGCAGAAAGGGCAGCCAGUCUUCAUCAUUACUUGCGCAUAAAUUAGGAUUAAAGGCGAGACACUGAAGAGGGAAAAAGGGAGUGGGUUCCACUUCUGCAGAAAUCAUAUUCGCAAUUUUGACCUUAUUUGGAUUUACUUGUGGGGAAUGCCGACUCAACUCCUUAUAAGGUUGGUCACUAAGGGACCAACUAAGAAGCAAUUGCCCAGCUCGCUUUUUCCUCCUAAUUUCGCAUCGCUAUAUUCAGCAUAUAUUUGCAGAAACCAACGAUGUUCCCCCAUUAUUUUUUCGCCACUAAUGCGACAGAAUGUUGCUAAAAAGCUCGCCCGUUAUGCAUUUUCCUGACACAUUCCAUAUUCGCAUUAGUUGCGCUGACAUUUCAUGUCAAAUUAGUGACAUUUAGUGUCAUGAAAGUGCGCAAAUUUGCCAGCCAAAUGGGGGAACUUAUAUUUCAAAAAGAAGUAUUAUUAGUGGGGUGACUUCAUGUCGUGUUGUCAUGCCAAAAAAGUCUUAUGUGAUAAUACAAAUGAUGGAGGAAAAUAGAGAAGGGGAACCAUUAAUGUCAUCUUGUAUUUGUUUUAGCUCUGCAAAGAAGUUAAUCUCUUGAAUUUGUUUGAGAUAUUCUAUGUAGUUUUUAGUUCUGAAUUCUUUAACCAUUUUUCUAAUCUUUAAAUGUAUGCAUAAACCAAAGACCGGCAUGGAAAACGUAUAAAACAUUAUUUUAUCAACCCAAUCGGUGUUUUUUUUUUACAAAACCAUGGAAAAAUAAACCCGAAACGGAAACUUUUUGCCUUGUUCCAGUGACAGUUGCAAACAUUUUCGGUGCCUUCUUUUUCGGCGAUGUUUGUGCUGGGUAUUAUUAUUUUUAUUUUCAUUCUGAUUGUCACAACAGCAGCGGAGCAGCCCAAACUGGUUUUCAUUUUGUUUGUUAUUGUUAUUGCUGUCGGAUGCAUUGUUGUUGCUGUUAUUUCUGCUGUUGCUAUUGUUGUUGUUGCGGUAGUCCUCUGUUAAACAUGUUUGACACGGACUCUCGUGGGAUAACCCAGCGGGAACCCAGCGGGAAAGUGAGAAGUAGGUUUUUUAUUUGAGUGGAAAACCUCCUUCUUUUUAGCAGGCGUAGGGGUAGGGAUAGUUGAAAACCUACUUCUUUUUAGCAGGCAUAGGUAAGGGAUAGAAAAUUUCGGACCGCUAAAUGGGGUGGGUUUCUGAAUAUGACCAUAAGUUACAACGAAGUUGUGACUAAUUAUUGUCUUUGUCUUUGUGAUGCACGGUCACAUCAGCAUAAAAUUUCGUGCAAAAAGUGUAAAAAGUGAAAAAAAGUUGUGUUAAUCUUAAAAAACAAGAUAAAGGUAAGUUAUAACAUAAAUAUUUUUGUUUGUAUUUCCUUAUUUCAGCGUUACGGAUAUGGUGAGCAUAGGCAUUUUUACUAAAACUAAAUAUAAGCCGCCAGAGGCGGUUGUCAAGUAGGUAAGUUUUUUAUUUAAAUUUAUUUUUCAGUUUUUCAAGAACAAACAAUGUUUUUUCUAGAAUUUGUAAUAGAUUCGACUUCAAAGAUUCUGGCCCUUGUGUUAAUAUUAACGGCAAAACUGAACGUGCGCAAGCGGACAUUCCGAUUUCGUCAUUUGAAGAACUCGGCCAUUUGGACUCCGAUGCCGAAGCCAAUCCAGAAGCAUUUAGUCACUCAGAAACGACAAUUACAGUCUUACCCAAUAUCAAGAUGAUCUGCGUUCACCGUUCACUAAGGCAAA
Drosophila ficusphila is the source of this 3788-nucleotide long non-coding RNA. RefSeq lists it as uncharacterized. The record is from RefSeq and is a predicted model, not a curated record. NCBI's taxonomy places the organism in Eukaryota, Metazoa, Arthropoda, Insecta, Diptera, Drosophilidae. The transcript has 2 exons.